AGAACGAACGCUGGCGGCAGGCUUAACACAUGCAAGUCGAACGCGUGUAGCAAUACACGAGUGGCGCACGGGUGAGUAACGCGUGGAUAUCUGCCUUUUGGUUCGGAAUAACCCCGGGAAACUGGGGCUAAUACCGGAUGGUUCCUACGGGAUAAAGAUUUAUCGCCAAAAGAUGAGUCCGCGUCCGAUUAGCUAGUUGGUGGGGUAAUGGCCUACCAAGGCGACGAUCGGUAGCUGGUCUGAGAGGACGAUCAGCCACACUGGGACUGAGACACGGCCCAGACCCCUACGGGAGGCAGCAGUGGGGAAUAUUGGACAAUGGGGGCAACCCUGAUCCAGCCAUGCCGCGUGAGUGAUGAAGGCCUUCGGGUUGUAAAGCUCUUUUGGCGGGACGAUGAUGACGGUACCCGCAGAAUAAGCCCGGCUAACUUCGCGCCAGCAGCCGC
RNAcentral lists this ribosomal RNA (446 nucleotides) under uncultured bacterium. Its description in RNAcentral is "SSU rRNA". It matches the Rfam family "Bacterial small subunit ribosomal RNA", at positions 26 to 518 of the family's 1533-position model. The record is from RNAcentral.